CCUUAUGACAUAAAAAAAUCACUGAUAGAACUAAACAAAUUAAGAGACAAGAUUCCAAAUUUAAUCAAAACCGCUCAAAAUGCACAAAAAAUACAACACGAUAAAAAACACCGCUUAAUCAAAUUUCAACCUGGAGACUCAGUGUUAAUCUUAUUUCCAUUUAAUGAGGUAGGAAAAUCUCAAAAACUUGCUCCCAAAUAUAAAGGCCCCUUCAAAAUAAUAGACAAAAUAAAUGAUUUAAAUUAUAAAGUUGAAUUAACCCUUAACAAUAAAACGACUAAUGACAUAAUUCAUGUCAGAAGAAUGAAACCAUACAUUGAUAGAUAGAAAAAGUAGGCAGAUUAGAAUACGUUUAAAAAAAAAAAAAUAAUAAUAAUAAUAAUAAUUAUAACAAAUAAUACUAUAACAAAAUAUAAUAUAAUAACAUAUAUAUAUAUAUAUAUAUACACAUAAANAACCCUCAACAAUAAAACGACUAAUGACAUAAUUCAUGUCAGAAGAAUGAAACCAUACAUUAAUAGAUAGAAAAAGUAGG
Cinara cedri is the source of this 535-nucleotide non-coding RNA. NCBI's taxonomy places the organism in Eukaryota, Metazoa, Arthropoda, Insecta, Hemiptera, Aphididae. The record is from the annotation of a GenBank genome assembly.